Molecule: ribosomal RNA, 429 nt
Filed under: Bacteroidota bacterium
Lineage: Bacteria; Pseudomonadati; Bacteroidota
Description: Bacteroidetes bacterium partial 16S ribosomal RNA
Rfam family: Bacterial small subunit ribosomal RNA
Source: RNAcentral
UAGGGAAUCUUCCGCAAUGGACGCAAGUCUGACGGAGCAACGCCGCGUGAGUGAAGAAGGAUUUCGGUUCGUAAAACUCUGUUGUUAGAGAAAAACAGCGCAUAGAGUAACUGUUAUGCGUGUGACGGUAUCUAACCAGAAAGCCACGGCUAACUACGUGCCAGCAGCCGCGGUAAUACGUAGGUGGCAAGCGUUGUCCGGAUUUAUUGGGCGUAAAGCGAGCGCAGGCGGUCAAUUAAGUCUGAUGUGAAAGCCCCCGGCUCAACCGGGGAGGGUCAUUGGAAACUGGUGGACUUGAGUGCAGAAGAGGGGAGUGGAAUUCCAUGUGUAGCGGUGAAAUGCGUAGAUAUAUGGGGGAACACCAGUGGCGAAGGCGACUCUCUGGUCUGUAACUGACGCUGAGGCUCGAAAGCGUGGGUAGCAAACAGG